Molecule: long non-coding RNA, 1484 nt
Filed under: Toxoplasma gondii VEG
Lineage: Eukaryota; Apicomplexa; Conoidasida; Eucoccidiorida; Sarcocystidae
Source: RNAcentral
GGCGGCGCCUCAGAGGAGAGUUCGGACUUGCAGAGAGGAAGCACAGCGCGUUUUCAAGUUCUCUUCUCGCGCCGCUUUCUGGAGAGACCGAGAGGAAGAACUCAGACUCCAGGCGGCUUCCUCGCUUCCCCUUCCCGGUCUGACGCCGAGCGCGCCGAGUGCUCUUAGGUGACGGGGGCGUCUCGGAGGGACGCGCAGAGGAGAAGCGAAGAAGGAACGGAGAAUAACAACGGUUCUGUCCGGAGGGACGCGCAGAGGAGAAGCGAAGAAGGAACGGAGAAGAACAACGGUUCUGUCCGGAGGGACGCGCAGAGGAGAAUCGAAGAAGGAACGGAGAAGAGCGGCCCUCUACUCCGACGCUCUGGCCUGCUCUCGGAAGAGCGGCAAGACACUCUGCCUUGUGUAUCGGCACCGAAGUUUCACAGGCGAAGAGAAGAGAGUGCAGAAAUGCAUUUGUGCAUCUGCUCGUUUGAAACGCGUCAACAGUCUCGAUCACGACAGAAAACGUAGCGAAAGGAAGGCCCCGCCGAAACCGUAAAGAGGAACUCGAAAUUGCCACUGCGCGUACUCGAGUAUCGACAACGACGUCCGUCCCCGCGCCUUCUCCUCUCAAAAAAACGACGAGCGGCCAGGAGGGACACUGAGACUUGGGUAUCGCAACAAGAAUGCUUUGAGAGUCUCUAAAUGCACUGCAAUCAGGCUAGCGAGCUAGCUCCGUCGAGUUUUCGACACCCGCCAACGAAAACAUACAUGUUCACACAGGAGCGCAAGCGCCUUCGUAGACAAUUUUGCGCAAACAAAGAGGUGUAGCUUAACCGCUCACAUCUACGUCGAUAUCAACAUAUAGACAUACGCAUACGCAUACAUCUACACAGAUCGAUAGCGACAGAGAGAGAGAGAUAUGGUCGAGGCCAUUUGUAUACCUGUGCGCAGAACGGAUCGCAAGUCAGGAAGGGGAGUUGAGUUGAGAGAGGAGCGUUUUUCGAGCGGUCAAAAGGACUUUGUCGCGAUUUUUGAGACUGCUGGAAUUUUUCCGAAGAAUCUCUCAAGCGGCGGAAGACCAAGCGUUUAGCUCCCAUCAACUAUGUCGGACUCGAGCUCCGUGUAGACGAGAGUCAUCCCCUCACCGUGGCGACGCAAUUCUCUUCGUCCUUUGCCCUUAUCUCUCUUUUUUCGACGUCUCGCUCUCGCCAGCGUUGUCGCUUUCCACCUCACUCACCCGCUCGCCCCUCCCCCCCCAUUUUCUCCUCUCUAUUUGCUCUCCUUCUUGAGCAUGGCUUCUGCGGCACCUGCUCCUCCUCCUCGCCUUUUUCGGAGGAGACCUCUUUCCCCGUUCCCCUGUCCUUUCGAUGUUCCAUCCUCUCUUCGCUCUGCGUCUCCCUUGUUCGAUUUCCACGCCUCUCCUUCUCCCUCUUCGCGUCCAAGGUCCUCCUUGCCGUCUUCCGCUCUCGCCGCAUACACACGAAGCACGAAGCCGCCUGGAG